UACGUAGGGGGCAAGCGUUAUCCGGAUUUACUGGGUGUAAAGGGAGCGUAGACGGAGCGGCAAGUCUGGAGUGAAAACCCGGGGCUUAACCCUGGGACUGCUUUGGAAACUGUCGUUCUUGAGUGCCGGAGGGGUAAGCGGAAUUCCUAGUGUAGCGGUGAAAUGCGUAGAUAUUAGGAGGAACACCAGUGGCGAAGGCGGCUUACUGGACGGCAACUGACGUUGAGGCUCGAAAGCGUGGGGAGCAAACAGG
This 253-nucleotide ribosomal RNA is filed under the name uncultured bacterium. RNAcentral's name for it is "partial 16S ribosomal RNA". It matches the Rfam family "Bacterial small subunit ribosomal RNA", at positions 524 to 776 of the family's 1533-position model. The record is from RNAcentral.